RNAcentral lists this transfer RNA (78 nucleotides) under Candidatus Portnoybacteria bacterium CG10_big_fil_rev_8_21_14_0_10_38_18. RNAcentral's name for it is "tRNA-Ala". It matches the Rfam family "tRNA". From Rfam's summary of the family: Transfer RNA (tRNA) molecules are approximately 80 nucleotides in length. The record is from RNAcentral. Lineage: Bacteria; Candidatus Portnoyibacteriota.
GGGCCUGUAGCUCAGCUGGUUUAGAGCGUCGGUAUGGCAUACCGAAGAUCGUCGGUUCGAAUCCGAUCAGGUCCACAA